AAAGCCUGAUCUCAUCUGAUCUCAGAAGCAAAG
Molecule: ribosomal RNA, 33 nt
Filed under: Periophthalmus magnuspinnatus
Lineage: Eukaryota; Metazoa; Chordata; Actinopteri; Gobiiformes; Gobiidae
Source: RNAcentral